CUCCAAUAGCGUAUAUUAAAGUUGUUGCAGUUAAAAAGCUCGUAGUUGGAUUUCUGGCGGGAGUGACCGUGUCGGGCUUGAUUGUCCGUUCAACGUGUCGCAUCCAGCCAUCCUCGCGGAGAACGUUUUUUUAUCAUUGAUUUGAUAGAUUCGAUAUCCGCGUCGUUUACUGUGAAAAAAUUAGAGUGUUUAAAGCAGGC
RNAcentral lists this ribosomal RNA (200 nucleotides) under uncultured eukaryote. Its description in RNAcentral is "partial 18S ribosomal RNA". It matches the Rfam family "Eukaryotic small subunit ribosomal RNA", at positions 589 to 785 of the family's 1831-position model. The record is from RNAcentral.